CUGAUGAUGUUUGGUGUUUUAAGGAAAAGCGGAUUACCAGGAUUUAAUCCGGAACCACUACCGUGUUUGUUAUAAAGAAAACAUUGGAGUCGUGCCAACAUUAUCACCAUUUUUGUUUAAAAAAUUCUAAUGUUUCUGAAUACGUUCUGUUCACCGAAUAAAAUUGUUAGUUAUAUACACUUUAUUGUUAUUGUUUUGUCGGCAUUUUUGCAUGUUAUUGCAUUUGUAAUAUAUAUAUAUAUACAUAUAAAUAUUUUCUGUUUAUUAUGUUUGUGCACUGAUGUUUCAAAUAAAUUUGAUAAUGUGGUUUUUAACAUUCGAGAGUUAAUGAUUAUAUCGCUGUAUCUCCACAAGAUUUUGAUGUUUGAUGUGUAUCAGUUAAGAGAAUGGUUCCCCAAAAAAGUGGGAUAAGGUCACAUAAAACGUAGACGUAUUUCUCUGAAGAGUUAUCACGGAGAAAAAAAUGAAAAUUCAAGGUAAAAAAUAGAAAAUAAAAAUGGGAAUCGAUGGUUACUUAUUUUUAACUUCCUCACUCAACUGUUUUACAAAAUAGGACUGUUUUUUCAUUUAUAAAGGUCAGUUUAAAAAUUUAUAUCAUUAUCAUGCGGUAGAACCCAGUUUAUGUGCGUUUUCGAAGGGGGUUGAUAAAAAAUUAUGUACAAGUGAGAUUAACGUUAAAACGAAACUUUUUACUUGAACUUUAAAAAUGUAGAAAAAAUGCUUAAAAAAUUAAAAAUUUAAAAAAGUUAAACUGCAUACUGUGUCACAUACGCC
This 774-nucleotide long non-coding RNA is filed under the name Androctonus crassicauda. Lineage: Eukaryota; Metazoa; Arthropoda; Arachnida; Scorpiones; Buthidae. The record is from RNAcentral.